Long non-coding RNA from Trichomycterus rosablanca, 673 nucleotides. RefSeq lists it as uncharacterized. Lineage: Eukaryota; Metazoa; Chordata; Actinopteri; Siluriformes; Trichomycteridae. The record is from RefSeq and is a predicted model, not a curated record. The transcript is spliced from 2 exons.
AGUUUAGUUAGACUCGCUUUAUGGUCCCAGCAGGGAGUUCGGGUUCUGGAACUAGGCGGUAUAAAGUGUUGUAACGCUCAUUGAAGUCCUGACUAAACAGUUAAAGUGACUCUACCCUGUCGUGUGCUUUUAUUCCCAUACCUCCACCACCGCACAGCAAAAGACCUGUAGCAUCCCCGCCGGACAGCGGCUAGGGCAUUCUGAUGGAAACCUGUUUACCCGCCGAGGUUAAGGAUUAAAGUCGAGACUGCCGGGACAACGAUGCUGCUCCUGUCAGAUGUGACGGGUCUGGAGUAAUUGCAACGACAAGAAAUCCCUACAGACUUUAUUGAACACUAGAGCGGAUAACAACUCUAUUAUUAUUUAAUUGUUUAUUUAUCUAUUUAUUACCAGUUAUGACUUUUAGAUCAUUUAAUUCUGUGUUUGUUUGAUUUGUGUAAAUCGUGUAUUUAUUUAAAGUAUCCUCCAGGCCACCCAAGAAGGAUGGGCCCUGCUGAGUCUGGAUCCUCUCAAGGUUUUUUCCUGUAAUUUUCAGGGAGUUUUUCCUUGCCACAGUCGCCCUCGGCUUGCUCAACAGGGGUUUUUGUAUCUGUUGGUCCUGGAUUUUGUAAAGUUGCUUUGAGACAAUGUCUAUUGUAAAAAGAGCUAUAUAAAUAAAGUUGACUUGACUUGA